RNAcentral lists this long non-coding RNA (700 nucleotides) under Cyanistes caeruleus (blue tit). Its description in RNAcentral is "lncRNA (ENSCCEG00000016202.1)". Lineage: Eukaryota; Metazoa; Chordata; Aves; Passeriformes; Paridae. The record is from RNAcentral.
GGUCAGUGUCCGCUCCAGUCAUCAUAACAGGCAAGGUUCAUUGAAUCAAGGGCUUUGCCAAAAUAAGAGCCAAGAAUCCAAGACUAAAUGAGAUUGGUGUAGUUGGGGGUGUGCAUAAAAAAAAGUUUAAUUAAACAGUACUGUAGGAGGAGAGGCCAAGCACAACAGCAUUUUAUACAACCUCUGUGCUAGACUGCACAUAGUCUACCAUGUAUACCAUAUAUAUACACCAUAGAUGCUUUCUUUCCAAGUUUUCUCAUUCAUUCCAAAGCCAGCGUUUCUUUGCCAAAAAAUGUCCAAGUUCUGGAAGUCCUGCUCAAAACAGAAGGAAUACAGAGCAAUUUGUCAGAAGAAAGACUCAGACAAUCAAGUCUCUGGCAGCCUGUUCUUGAUCAAAGGCUGUUGGGCAAAGUCCUUUUGCUCGGAGACGAUGGACCAGCACGAGCACCGACAGCAAACCGUGGAGGAGGUCUCUGGGGCAGGUCUGUUUUAAAGGUUCAAAAGAUUUCCAAACAGCUGCUUCCCACCAGGCCCUGCACAGGCUUCUGCCUCAGCAGCAGCUGGGAGAAAGCCCAGUCUGGACCUACACUCACAGGGCAAAUCUCCAAGGCUGUCUAAUUACAUCUGAGAUUUCUCUGCCCCUCUAAGACACAAGGAGCAGCCAAGCAAUAAACAACGAAAAUAAUUCUGUGCUUAAACA